CAUCCAGACAUCCAGCUUGAUGGGAAAAACUCUGUCCUCGUGUACACCCAUGUGAGUGUGGGGGUAUUCACGAGGGCGCUCUUUUUCCGUCAUUCAACUUCUCUGCGGAUGGAUGGAGCACUUAUGGAUGCCUGGCUGUACUUCCCAGGCAUAAAGCGGUGGAUGGAACUAUAACACGUACACAGACCAAAUGCGGUGGCCGUAACAUCAACAGGGCGAUUAAACGCGGCCGCUUUUUUCUUACUACGGUAAAUGCGUAACGCGGGGUCAAAGGAUCGAGGCCUCUUUUCUUAGCCCCCAGAAGAAUGUGUGUAACCCCGACGAUAUAUUUUAUAAUGAGCCUGGCCAUCCCAACGAGCAAUUCGCAGUAAACUGGUUUGAGAAGCUUAUCCAAGUACACACGGAAUAAAUUCUAAAACGCAAUUUUCACCAGAAAAA
Molecule: long non-coding RNA, 438 nt
Organism: Daphnia pulex (common water flea)
Lineage: Eukaryota; Metazoa; Arthropoda; Branchiopoda; Diplostraca; Daphniidae
Exons: 2
Source: RefSeq, a predicted model, not a curated record